GACGAACGCUGGCGGGCGUGCUUAACAACAUGCAAGUCGAGCGGUAAGGCCCUUUCGGGGGUACGACGAGCGGCGAACGGGUGAGUAACACGUGGGUGACCUGCCCUCAGCUCUGGGAUAAGCCUGGGAAACCGGGUCUAAUACCGGAUAUGACUCCAUGACGCAUGUUGUGGGGUGGAAAGCCUUGUGCGGCUGAGGAUGGGCCCGCGGCCUAUCAGCUUGUUGGUGGGGUGAUGGCCUACCAAGGCGACGACGGGUAGCCGGCCUGAGAGGGCGACCGGCCACACUGGGACUGAGGCACGGCCCAGACUCCUACGGGAGGCAGCAGUGGGGAAUCUUGCGCAAUGGGGCGAAAGCCUGACGCAGCGACGCCGCGUGA
This 379-nucleotide ribosomal RNA is filed under the name uncultured bacterium. Its description in RNAcentral is "bacterial SSU rRNA". It matches the Rfam family "Bacterial small subunit ribosomal RNA", at positions 28 to 404 of the family's 1533-position model. The record is from RNAcentral.